UACGAAGGGGGCUAGCGUUGUUCGGAAUCACUGGGCGUAAAGCGCACGUAGGCGGAUUUUUAAGUCAGGGGUGAAAGCCUGGAGCUCAACUCCAGAACUGCCUUUGAUACUGGAAGUCUCGAGUUCGGAAGAGGUUGGUGGAACUGCGAGUGUAGAGGUGAAAUUCGUAGAUAUUCGCAAGAACACCAGUGGCGAAGGCGGCCAACUGGUCCGAUACUGACGCUGAGGUGCGAAAGCGUGGGGAGCAAACAGG
This 253-nucleotide ribosomal RNA is filed under the name uncultured bacterium. Its description in RNAcentral is "partial 16S ribosomal RNA". It matches the Rfam family "Bacterial small subunit ribosomal RNA", at positions 524 to 776 of the family's 1533-position model. The record is from RNAcentral.